UAACCUGGGGAAACCCAGGCUAAUACCGCAUACGUCCUACGGGAGAAAGGGGGCUCCGGCUCCCGCUAUUGGAUGAGCCUAUGUCGGAUUAGCUAGUUGGUGAGGUAAAGGCUCACCAAGGCAACGAUCCGUAGCUGGUCUGAGAGGAUGAUCAGCCACAUCGGGACUGAGACACGGCCCGAACUCCUACGGGAGGCAGCAGUGGGGAAUAUUGGACAAUGGGCGCAAGCCUGAUCCAGCCAUGCCGCGUGUGUGAAGAAGGCCCUCGGGUUGUAAAGCACUUUCAGCGAGGAAGAACGCCUAGCGGUUAAUACCCGCUAGGAAAGACAUCACUCGCAGAAGAAGCACCGGCUAACUCCGUGCCAGCAGCCGCGGUAAUACGGAGGGUGCAAGCGUUAAUCGGAAUUACUGGGCGUAAAGCGCGCGUAGGUGGCUUGAUAAGCCGGUUGUGAAAGCCCCGGGCUCAACCUGGGAACGGCAUCCGGAACUGUCAAGCUAGAGUGCAGGAGAGGAAGGUAGAAUUCCCGGUGUAGCGGUGAAAUGCGUAGAGAUCGGGAGGAAU
Molecule: ribosomal RNA, 562 nt
Filed under: Halomonas sp. 2A6
Lineage: Bacteria; Pseudomonadati; Pseudomonadota; Gammaproteobacteria; Oceanospirillales; Halomonadaceae
Also listed under: 1 other name
Description: bacterial SSU rRNA
Rfam family: Bacterial small subunit ribosomal RNA
Source: RNAcentral